UACCAUCAUUUGUUUUCCAUUUUUAAUGCAUUUUUUUGCUAUUUUUUGGCUAUAACUCUCUAAAAAUGCUUAUAUAGUUAUUUCCCUUACAAACCCAAGCAACGCCGGGUGAUACUGCUAGUGACUAAUAUAUGGAAACAGUGUAACGCUAUGUAAGAAAAAGAUGUUCUAUCAGUAAAGGUUUUAGAAGAUUCUUUUCAAUUUGUGAGCAUAAAGAAUAUCGUGUAAUUUGAAAUUUUGUUAUUUACAAGAAUAAUUAAUAAAAGGUGAGAAAUAGUAUUCCAGUUUUUUUUUUCUAAUUAAAUUCAAAAAUAGUCUUUAAAAUUACCAUAAAAAGUGCAUUGAGAUUACGCUCCAAGCUAAUUAUUCCCAUGUUCCUUUGCACAUUUUUAUUACAACACAGCCACACGUGCACAUACACACACACACACAUGUAGGUAUAUUGUAAAUAGAGAUUCAGUUUUAAGCUUUAUCUUUUUUGUCAAUUUCUUUUCAUGUUUGUAUGAUUUCUUUACAAGUUGUUUAAAACCAUGAAGUUCUAUUGACCUUUAUGGACGCACCAUCCAGAUGAAGUGAUGACGGUGGGUGUGUAUUAAUAUACAUUCAUAGAUGCAGACACACACACACACACGCACACCAAUCGCUUAAUUGCAUAGCUUCAUGAACUGAGAUUAUUGUGCAGUUAACCAGAGUAUGCAGCAAACCGAAUUCACAUUGUUGGUGAUAAAUUAUGAGAUUCCAGUACAUUGUAAGUAGUCAUGUAAUGCAAUGUAAGAAUUAUACAUGAAUAAAACGUUUCACCACAA
Long non-coding RNA from Octopus sinensis (East Asian common octopus), 806 nucleotides. RefSeq lists it as uncharacterized. The transcript has 2 exons. NCBI's taxonomy places the organism in Eukaryota, Metazoa, Mollusca, Cephalopoda, Octopoda, Octopodidae. The record is from RefSeq and is a predicted model, not a curated record.